Molecule: non-coding RNA, 86 nt
Organism: Nematostella vectensis (starlet sea anemone)
Lineage: Eukaryota; Metazoa; Cnidaria; Anthozoa; Actiniaria; Edwardsiidae
Source: Rfam
CCUUCGAUAGCUCAAUUGGUAGAGCGGGGGACUGUAGAUUUAUAAUUGUGAUCCCUAGGUCGCUGGUUCGAAUCCGGCUUGAAAAA